AGCCUGCCGAUUCCUCCUUCUUGUAGAACCGUAAUGCCAUUAAUUUGGUGUUGCGGGGAAACAGGACUGUUACUUUGAAAAAAUUAGAGUGUUUAAAGCAGGCUAGCGCCUGAAUACAUUAGCAUGGAAUAAUGAAAUAGGACGUUCGAACCUAUUUUGUUGGUUUCUAGGAUCGACGUAAUGAUUAAUAGGGAUAGUUGGGGGCAUUAGUAUUCAAUUGUCAGAGGUGAAAUUCUUGGAUUUAUUGAAGACUAACUACUGCGAAAGCAUUUGCCAAGGAUGUUUUCAUUAAUCAAGAACGAAAGUUAGGGGAUCGAAGACGAUCAGAUACCGUCGUAGUCUUAACCAUAAACUAUGCCGACUAGGGAUCGGAUGAUGUUAUUUUUAAUGACUCAUUCGGCGCCUUACG
Molecule: ribosomal RNA, 409 nt
Filed under: uncultured Glomeromycotina
Lineage: Eukaryota; Fungi; Glomeromycota
Description: SSU rRNA
Rfam family: Eukaryotic small subunit ribosomal RNA
Source: RNAcentral